GCACAAGCGGUGGAGUAUGUGGUUUAAUUCGAUGCAACGCGAAGAACCUUACCUGGUCUUGACAUCCCGGAGACCCUUAGGAAACUAGGGGGUGCUUCCAUCUGGAAGAAUCUGGAGACAGGUGCUGCAUGGCUGUCGUCAGCUCGUGUCGUGAGAUGUUGGGUUAAGUCCCGCAACGAGCGCAACCCUUGCCUUUAGUUGCCAGCAGUUCGGCUGGGCACUCUAAAGGGACUGCCGGUGUUAAACCGGAGGAAGGUGGGGAUGACGUCAAGUCCUCAUGGCCUUUAUGACCAGGGCUACACACGUACUACAAUGGCCGAUACAAAGGGCAGCGACACUGCGAGGUGAAGCCAAUCCCGUAAAAUCGGUCUCAGUCCGGAUUGGAGUCUGCAACUCGACUCCAUGAAGUUGGAAUCGCUAGUAAUCGUGGAUCAGCAUGCCACGGUGAAUACGUUCCGGCCUU
This 463-nucleotide ribosomal RNA is filed under the name uncultured Desulfobulbus sp. RNAcentral describes it as "bacterial SSU rRNA". It matches the Rfam family "Bacterial small subunit ribosomal RNA", at positions 924 to 1374 of the family's 1533-position model. The record is from RNAcentral. Lineage: Bacteria; Pseudomonadati; Thermodesulfobacteriota; Desulfobulbia; Desulfobulbales; Desulfobulbaceae.